AUAGUAAGGUUGAGGAGGAGGUUGGCAAGAGGAGGUGAGCAAGGGAUGUUGAGCGAGCUAGGGCUGGGACUGGGGCUUAGGUGGGCGCGGCGGCGCCAGAGGUGGGCGAGAGCGGGAUCGGGGUGUGGCGGCGGCGGGAUCGACCGGUGUGGCGACGGAGCGGAGUCGGAGAGCUGGAACCGACGACGAGGUGGGGAGGUGGUCUCCGGGAUCGGAGAAGGGGCCGACGACGAGGCGGGGGGAGGUGACUUCCGGGGGGAGGCGGCCUGCGGGAGGGCGACCUCCGGGGCUGGAGAACGGGCCGGUGACGAGACGGGGGGAGGUGGCAGCGGGAGGGAUGCCCCCCGGGAAAGGGAGUGGGGAGAGGAUCGGGUCGAGACCGGCGAGCAUGAGAGGGCGACGUGGGCACCGGCGCCGCAGUAGAGGCCAGUGUGCGACGCGGGCGCGGGGAGAAGGCUGGGACCGGGGCACUAUUAGCUGCAGCCUCUCCAACCGGGGACUAGCAAGGAGGCGACCAAUUGAUGAAGGAGAUGUCGGUUCCCAAAUGUGUUUCUCCCUCUUACGGUCGUCGACGUUAAGACCUGGACUUUUUCGAUGCAGUCUCAAUGGAUAAGACGUGUAGAAGUUUACUCGACUUUUAAAUGCCUCUUAACAAAAGCUUAUAUACCUUUUAUGACCUCGUUUAUUGAUGGCCUCCCCCGGUGGGACCACUCGUGUUCUGUGGUCCCACGCGGACCCGGGGGUCCGCGCGGGACCCCCAACACGGGAGGAGCCGGGCUGAUGCCAUGGGUAGAACACCAUAUAUUUAGUAAAACUCGAUCUUUUUUUUAUUCUCCCCCUGAAAGCCCUGCCUCGCGACGGCAGAGUUCUCCUUGAACCCGUCCUCGUGAAAACUGGAGGCGGCCCCCUUGAA
Molecule: ribosomal RNA, 913 nt
Filed under: Triticum aestivum (bread wheat)
Lineage: Eukaryota; Viridiplantae; Streptophyta; Magnoliopsida; Poales; Poaceae
Description: partial small subunit ribosomal RNA
Source: RNAcentral